Molecule: RNA transcript, 3732 nt
Organism: Triticum aestivum (bread wheat)
Lineage: Eukaryota; Viridiplantae; Streptophyta; Magnoliopsida; Poales; Poaceae
Gene name: copper methylamine oxidase
Exons: 12
Source: RefSeq, a predicted model, not a curated record
UAACACCCACCCAAAACCCCAAAAACCCCUCCUCCUCUUCACGUCUCUCCUUAGAUUGCCCGCUCGCGGCCGAAACGCCAGCCCCAUUCCGCGGCGUGGAGCCCCGAAUUCCCAAUCUCAAAACCCCCCAUCGCGCAUUGCCCACACGAGGAAGUAGAAGCAGCCGAGGAGGAGGAAGGGGGCAGGUAAGGCCGUGGUGGAGGCGGAGGGGCCAGUGCUGCGUGUCAUCGUUGCCAACGGGGGUGGAGAAUAGGAGGAGGGGGGCGACGAACGGGGACGAUCAGGUAGCAAACCCUCUCCCAUGGCUGUCUCCGAGGAAAAGGCGCAGGGAUGCCGCAGCGGCGCGGCCGCCGGCAAGGCCGCCUCUCCCGUGAAGCCCAACAGCGGCGCUGUGAUGGAGGAGAUCACGGAUUCCCCGUCCACCACCGCUAAGGCCUCGUCCAAAGGUAUAUACGGAAUCCCAAUCAUGACGAGGGCCCAGAGAAGCCACCCUUUAGACCCAUUAUCUGCUGCUGAAAUUGCUGUGGCUGUAGCAACUGGUAGAGCUGCUGGAAGAACUCCUGAAGUACGAGACAGCAUGCGUUUUGUUGAAGUUGUGCUCCUGGAGCCAGAAAAGAAUGUUGUGGCAUUAGCUGAUGCAUACUUCUUUCCACCAUUCCAACCAUCCCUGCUUCCCAGAACCAAAGGUGGUCCUGUCAUCCCAAGCAGGCUCCCACCUAGGAGGGCCAGACUUGUUGUCUACAACAAGCAAACAAACGAGACUAGCAUUUGGGUUGUAGAACUCUCUGAAGUGCAUGCUGCUACUAGGGGUGGGCACCACAGAGGCAAGGUUAUAUCAUCAGAAGUUGUUCCAGAUGUUCAGCCUGCAAUGGACGCGAUGGAAUAUGCUGAAUGUGAAGCUACAGUAAAAGAUUUCCCCCCUUUUAUUGAAGCCAUAAAGAAAAGAGGCAUUGAUGACAUGGAGCUUGUCAUGGUAGAUGCAUGGUGUGCAGGCUAUUAUAGUGAUGCUGAUGCUCCCAACCGAAGACUUGGCAAGCCUCUAAUCUUUUGUAGAACUGAAAGUGAUAGCCCUAUGGAGAAUGGCUAUGCUCGUCCUGUUGAAGGGAUCCAUGUUAUUGUUGAUAUGCAGAAUAAUGUUGUAAUAGAAUUCGAAGAUAGGAAGUUUGUCCCUCUUCCCCCACCAGAUCAUUUGAGAAACUACACUCCUGGGGAGACACGAGGUGGUGUCGAUAGAAGCGAUGUGAAGCCUCUUAUUAUCAGUCAACCUGAAGGCCCAAGUUUCCGUAUUACUGGCUCUUUUGUGGAGUGGCAGAAGUGGAAUUUCCGUGUUGGCUUCACACCCAAGGAAGGUCUAGUUAUCCAUUCUGUUGCAUAUGUUGAUGGAAACCGUGGACGUCGUCCAAUCGCUCACAGGCUGAGUUUUGUUGAAAUGGUUGUUCCUUAUGGAGAUCCGAACGAACCACAUUACCGGAAGAAUGCAUUUGAUGCUGGAGAAGAUGGGCUUGGAAAGAAUGCACACUCUCUUAAGAAGGGAUGUGAUUGCUUGGGAUACAUAAAAUACUUUGAUGCACAUUUUACGAAUUUUACUGGUGGUGUGGAGACAAUUGAGAAUUGUGUUUGUUUACAUGAGGAGGACCAUGGAAUCCUCUGGAAACAUCAAGAUUGGAGAACAGGAUUAGCUGAAGUUAGACGAUCACGCAGGCUUACUGUCUCCUUUAUAUGCACAAUUGCUAACUACGAAUAUGGAUUCUAUUGGCACUUUUAUCAAGAUGGUAAGAUAGAAUCUGAAGUAAAGCUUACUGGGAUUCUAAGCUUGGGAGCUCUAAUGCCUGGGGAACAAAGGAAAUAUGGCACAACUAUUGCUCCUAGUUUGUAUGCACCGGUUCAUCAACAUUUCUUUGUUGCCCGUAUGGACAUGGCAGUGGACUGCAAACCAAAUGAAGCUUAUAAUCAGGUGGUUGAGGUAAAUGUGAAAGUUGAAAGUUCAGGCCCAAAUAAUAUGCAUAAUAAUGCCUUCUACGCCGAAGAAGAGCUUCUGCAAUCUGAGUUACAGGCAAUGCGUGAUUGUGACCCUUCAUCUGCACGACAUUGGAUUGUAAGGAACACAAGGACAGUAAAUCGUACUGGGCAGCCAACAGGUUACAAGCUCAUACCUGGUUCAAAUUGUCUGCCAUUCUGCCUGCCAGAGGCAAAGUUCCUGAGAAGAGCUGGAUUUCUAAAGCAUAAUCUUUUUUUUUUUUUGAAACCUAAAGCAUAAUCUUUGGGUUACAUCAUACAAAAGGGAUGAGAUAUUCCCUGGAGGAGAAUUUCCUAAUCAGAACCCGCGCAUCCAUGAGGGUCUAGCUACAUGGGUCAAGAAGGAUAGAUCCUUGGAGGAAACCAACAUAGUUCUCUGGUAUGUUUUCGGGAUCACCCAUAUCCCAAGGCUCGAAGACUGGCCUGUCAUGCCAGUGGAACGCAGCGGCUUCAUGCUCAUGCCUCAUGGAUUCUUCAACUGUUCGCCUGCUGUCGAUGUUCCUCCUGCAUCCGAUGUGGACGCCAAGGAAGCUGAGACGCCAAAGGACAUCCAAACCGAGCUCAUUUCAAAGCUGUGAGCCCCGGAACCGGAGAAUCAUGUGGUUACUCCUUUGCAUUGACAUGCUGUGUACGCCCUUAUGAUACGCUGCAGCUGCCUCUUGUCGUGAGCUGAAUUCAAUGUUUGCGAUUGCUUCGUUCUUCUGAUUUUUCCUGUUUUUCUGAUUGGCGAUUAGGACUCGCACUGAAGUUGCCACUCGAAUUUUGUGUCCGGGAAUGGACAUGAGUUGGGGUACUACUUGUUCAGCGUCAGCGUUGUCUCAUCAAAAUUUCCAACCACUUGGUCACUUGCCAGAUGAGCCAGCCUUGGCUGGGCACGUCCUCAACUGCCCAGUCGACAAGCCGUCUGGCUAAAUGUCUGCAUACCUGUAUUUGGUUCCGUUUGCUUUAUUCUCAUUGCUUGCUGUAUCCCCCACAAGGCCACGAGCUACCGUUGGUCCCUUAUUAUGCGAAUGGAUGCCCCAUGCACCACCUAAGAUUUUUGGCACACUGCACCUAGCACAAGCUCGUGGACCUUUACGCUGUUUAGAUUUAUGCCCAUUUACACGUCAUAUGGUAAGUGAUGUAGAGAACCUACAAAUAGUGUACUUUUUUCUCUCUAACAAACACUUCGAAAGCAAGUCCUUAGUCUUGAGAAAUACUCGUCUAAUGCAUGCACCAGCACAAAAGUCCCCUAGGAACCUCUUUCUCUCUGUCCAGGUUCAGCUAGCGUUGGACAGUUGAAUAGUCCUGUCACGACAGCCUAUUGUCGGAGAUUCAGUAUUAGAUCUGCCGAUACAUUUGCAAAAAAAAAAAAAAAAAAAAACUUUUUUUGCGAAAAAAAAAGAAGAAAAAAGCUGGAUACAUUGACUUGAAUUCACUGAUAAAAAAAUCUGGCCUUUUCUCAAAAAAAAAAAGAUCUGGCCAUUGUACACUUUCAGUAAGUGGUACUCCUACUUACCAGCAGUUGUUCACGGCCAGCAGUAAGUUGCUUUGCAGUUCCAAAAGGAAAAAGAAAAGAAAAGAAUACAUGCUUCCUGUCAAUUUGUAACCCCUCUUUGUAACCCCUCUCGUCCCAUUUCUGAUUUUCUAGCUCUGACGUUGUGACGCACAUACUAGUGUGUAUUGUUGUUAGUGAAAAUUGAUCAGAUAGGAAUUGAACAGAGUAAAAGAGAGCAA